CCUACGGGUGGCAGCAGUGGGGAAUAUUGGACAAUGGGCGAAAGCCUGAUCCAGCCAUGCCGCGUGUGUGAAGAAGGCCUUCGGGUUGUAAAGCACUUUCAGUGGGGAAGAAAGCCUUGGGGCUAAUACUCUCGAGGAAGGACAUCACCCACAGAAGAAGCACCGGCUAACUCCGUGCCAGCAGCCGCGGUAAUACGGAGGGUGCGAGCGUUAAUCGGAAUUACUGGGCGUAAAGCGCGCGUAGGCGGUCUGAUAAGCCGGUUGUGAAAGCCCCGGGCUCAACCUGGGAACGGCAUCCGGAACUGUCAGGCUAGAGUGCAGGAGAGGAAGGUAGAAUUCCCGGUGUAGCGGUGAAAUGCGUAGAUAUCGGAAGGAAUACCAGUGGCGAAGGCGGCCUUCUGGACUGACACUGACGCUGAGGUGCGAAAGCGUGGGUAGCAAACAGGAUUAGAUACCCCAGUAGUC
Molecule: ribosomal RNA, 465 nt
Filed under: Vreelandella stevensii
Lineage: Bacteria; Pseudomonadati; Pseudomonadota; Gammaproteobacteria; Oceanospirillales; Halomonadaceae
Description: partial 16S ribosomal RNA
Rfam family: Bacterial small subunit ribosomal RNA
Source: RNAcentral